RNAcentral lists this ribosomal RNA (969 nucleotides) under Staphylococcus saprophyticus. RNAcentral's name for it is "bacterial SSU rRNA". It matches the Rfam family "Bacterial small subunit ribosomal RNA", at positions 42 to 1004 of the family's 1533-position model. The record is from RNAcentral. Lineage: Bacteria; Bacillati; Bacillota; Bacilli; Caryophanales; Staphylococcaceae.
GCGGGCCUAAUAAUGCAGUCGAGCGACAGAUAAGGAGCUUGCUCCUUUGACGUUAGCGGCGGACGGGUGAGUAACACGUGGGUAACCUACCUAUAAGACUGGGAUAACUUCGGGAAACCGGAGCUAAUACCGGAUAACAUUUGGAACCGCAUGGUUCUAAAGUGAAAGAUGGUUUUGCUAUCACUUAUAGAUGGACCCGCGCCGUAUUAGCUAGUUGGUAAGGUAACGGCUUACCAAGGCGACGAUACGUAGCCGACCUGAGAGGGUGAUCGGCCACACUGGAACUGAGACACGGUCCAGACUCCUACGGGAGGCAGCAGUAGGGAAUCUUCCGCAAUGGGCGAAAGCCUGACGGAGCAACGCCGCGUGAGUGAUGAAGGGUUUCGGCUCGUAAAACUCUGUUAUUAGGGAAGAACAAAUGUGUAAGUAACUGUGCACGUCUUGACGGUACCUAAUCAGAAAGCCACGGCUAACUACGUGCCAGCAGCCGCGGUAAUACGUAGGUGGCAAGCGUUAUCCGGAAUUAUUGGGCGUAAAGCGCGCGUAGGCGGUUUCUUAAGUCUGAUGUGAAAGCCCACGGCUCAACCGUGGAGGGUCAUUGGAAACUGGGAAACUUGAGUGCAGAAGAGGAAAGUGGAAUUCCAUGUGUAGCGGUGAAAUGCGCAGAGAUAUGGAGGAACACCAGUGGCGAAGGCGACUUUCUGGUCUGUAACUGACGCUGAUGUGCGAAAGCGUGGGGAUCAAACAGGAUUAGAUACCCUGGUAGUCCACGCCGUAAACGAUGAGUGCUAAGUGUUAGGGGUUUCCGCCCCUUAGUGCUGCAGCUAACGCAUUAAGCACUCCGCCUGGGGAGUACGACCGCAAGGUUGAAACUCAAGGAUUGACGGGACCGCACAGCGGUGGAGCAUGUGUUUAAUCGAAGCACGCGAAGAACCUUACCAAGUCUGACAUCUUUGAAACUCUAGAAGA